This 201-nucleotide microRNA precursor is filed under the name Marmota monax (woodchuck). Lineage: Eukaryota; Metazoa; Chordata; Mammalia; Rodentia; Sciuridae. The record is from RNAcentral.
GAGAGAGAGAGAGAGAGAGAGAGAGAAUUUUAAUAUUUAUUUUUUAGUUUUUGGCGGACACAACAUUUUUGUUUGUAUGUGGUGNCUGGCAUGUGUGCGGCCCAGGUUCGAUCCUCAGCACCACAUACAAACAAAAAUGUUGUGUCCGCCAAAAACUAAAAAAUAAAUAUUAAAAUUCUCUCUCUCUCUCUCUCUCUCUCU